RNAcentral lists this ribosomal RNA (192 nucleotides) under uncultured bacterium. RNAcentral's name for it is "partial 16S ribosomal RNA". It matches the Rfam family "Bacterial small subunit ribosomal RNA", at positions 339 to 523 of the family's 1533-position model. The record is from RNAcentral.
CUAGGGGAGGCAGCAGUGGGGAAUAUUGCACAAUGGGCGCAAGCCUGAUGCAGCCAUGCCGCGUGUAUGAAGAAGGCCUUCGGGUUGUAAAGUACUUUCAGCGGGGAGGAAGGUGUUGAGGUUAAUAACCUCAGCAAUUGACGUUACCCGCAGAAGAAGCACCGGCUAACUCCGUGCCAGCAGCCGCGGUAA